CGGCGGACGGGUGAGUAACGCGUGGACAAUCUACCCUGUAGACUGGGAUAACACCUCGAAAGGGGUGCUAAUACCGGAUAAUGUCGAGAAGCGGCAUCGCUUUUCGAAGAAAGGAGGGAAUCCGCUAUAGGAGGAGUCCGCGUCCCAUUAGCUAGUUGGUGAGGGUAACGGCCCACCAAGGCGACGAUGGGUAGCCGGCCUGAGAGGGUGAACGGCCACACUGGAACUGAGACACGGUCCAGACUCCUACGGGAGGCAGCAGUGGGGAAUAUUGUGCAAUGGGGGAAACCCUGACACAGCGACGCCGCGUGAGUGAAGAAGGCCUUCGGGUCGUAAAGCUCAAUAGUAUGGGAAGAAAGAAAUGACGGUACCAUACGAAAGCCCCGGCUAACUACGUGCCAGCAGCCGCGGUAAUACGUAGGGGGCGAGCGUUGUCCGGAAUUACUGGGCGUAAAGAGCACGUAGGCGGCUAUAUAAGUCAGGUGUGAAAAACCUGGGCUUAACCGAGGGUAUGCAUCUGAAACUAUAUAGCUUGAGUCAAGGAGAGGAGAGCGGAAUUCCUGGUGUAGCGGUGAAAUGCGUAGAGAUCAGGAAGAAUACCAGUGGCGAAAGCGGCUCUCUGGACUUG
This 628-nucleotide ribosomal RNA is filed under the name uncultured bacterium. RNAcentral's name for it is "bacterial SSU rRNA". It matches the Rfam family "Bacterial small subunit ribosomal RNA", at positions 96 to 737 of the family's 1533-position model. The record is from RNAcentral.